GCCGGGCGUGGUGGCGCAUGCCUGUAAUCCCAGCUACUCGGGAGGCUGAGGCAGGAGAAUUGCUUGAACCCAGGAGGUGGAGGUUGCAGUGAGCCGAGAUCGCGCCACUGCACUCCAGCCUGGGCAACAAAAGCAAAACUCCGUCUCAA
RNAcentral lists this non-coding RNA (149 nucleotides) under Gorilla gorilla gorilla (western lowland gorilla). Lineage: Eukaryota; Metazoa; Chordata; Mammalia; Primates; Hominidae. The record is from Rfam by way of RNAcentral.